CGUUUGAUUCAUUUUUGUCUCUUACGUAUGUACUUGUUAAGCCUUUAAGAGAAAAGUUUACAACUUAAGGAAUUAUAACAAAGAAGUAACACAUAAUAAGUUUACCUUAUUUAGUGUGUAUCAAUCGAGUUUCUGACCUAUCAGCUUUUGAUGUUAGGGUAUUGGCCUAACAUGGCUAUGACGGGUAACGGGGAAUUAGAGUUCGAUUCCGGAGAGGGAGCCUGAGAAAUAGCUACCACAUCUAAGGAAGGCAGCAGGCGCGUAAAUUACCCAAUUCUAAAGAAGAGAGGUAGUGACAAGAAAUAACAAUACAAGGCCAUUUCAUGGUUUUGUAAUUGGAAUGAUGGGAAUUUAAAACCUUCCCAAAAUUCAAUUGGAGGGCAAGUCUGGUGCCAGCAGCCGCGGUAAUUCCAGCUCCAAUAGCGUAUAUUAAAAUUGUUGCAGUUAAAACGCUCGUAGUUGAAUUUCAAAGAAUCAAUAUUUUAAGUAAUGCUUUUGGUAUAAGAUGCUUAGGCAAUACAACGUAUCUGCUCUUUGCAUUCCUUAUCCAAAAUGUGUUCUUAUUAUAAAAAGGAUUCUUUUUAAAAUCUCCUUUACUUUCUUGUACUGGAGAUUUUGUUACUUUGAGUAAAUUAGAGUGUUCAAAGCAAACAGUUAAAGCAUUUUACUGCGUUUGAAUACUACAGCAUGGAAUAACAAAAUUGAACAAGUCAAAACUCUGUUCCUUUUUCUUAUUUUGGCUUAGUUACGAUUAAUAGGAGUAGCUUGGGGGCAUUUGUAUUCAGAUGUCAGAGGUGAAAUUCUUAGAUUUUCUGGAGACAAACAACUGCGAAAGCAUUUGCCUAAAAUACUUCCAUUAAUCAAGAACGAAAGUUAAGGGAGUGAAGACGAUCAGAUACCGUCGUAAUCUUAACCAUAAACUAUGCCGACUAGGUUUUGGAUGAAAGAUUUUUAAAUAAGAAAAUUCCUUUUGGAAAUUUCUUAGAUUGCUUCCUUCAGUACCUUAUGAGAAAUCAAAGUCUUUGGGUUCUGGGGCGAGUAUUCGCGCAAGCGAGAAAGUUAAAAGAAUUGACGGAAGGGCACCACCAGGCGUGGAGCUUGCGGCUUAAUUUGACUCAACACGGGGAAACUCACUAGUUUAAGACAAGAGUAGGAUUGACAGAUUAAUAGCUCUUUCUUGAUUUCUUGGAUGGUGAUGCAUGGCCGUUUUUAGUUCGUGAAUAUGAUUUGUCUGGUUAAUUCCGAUAACGAACGAGAUCUUAACCUGCUAAUUAGCGGCGAAUACGCUAUAUUCCUACUUGAAAUUGAAUAUAGCUGAAUUUGCUUAUUUUGAAGAAUAUAUUAGGAUACAUUAUAGUGUCCUUUUCCCUUUUCUACUUAAUUCGCUAUUCAUGCUGUUUCUUUUUUGUGUAGGAAUGUAUUCGUUUGAUUGUAAAGCUUCUUAGAGGAACGAUGUGUGUCUAACACAAGGAAGUUUAAGGCAACAACAGGUCUGUGAUGUCCUUAGAUGAACUAGGCUGCACGCGUGCUACACUG
This is a non-coding RNA of Plasmodium ovale wallikeri, 1536 nucleotides long. NCBI's taxonomy places the organism in Eukaryota, Apicomplexa, Aconoidasida, Haemosporida, Plasmodiidae. The record is from Rfam.